Long non-coding RNA from Anguilla rostrata (American eel), 1143 nucleotides. RefSeq lists it as uncharacterized. The transcript has 3 exons. Lineage: Eukaryota; Metazoa; Chordata; Actinopteri; Anguilliformes; Anguillidae. The record is from RefSeq and is a predicted model, not a curated record.
AAACAACUUCAUUGUCACUGAAACCUGUGUAUAGCUGUGUUUCAGUGAGUCAGAGAAAGAGAGUAAGCGAAAGAGAUAGUGAGAGAGGCUGUGUGGCAUGCCCCUUUGUCCUGUCAGCAGCACGAUUGACACAUCAUAAAGAAAAUGUUAGAGAUGGCAGAAGUGUGAGUGUUGCUCUUUCACAUUACUUGAACGAGUUGACUAAUGUUAAUACGGGUAAAAUGCCAGUGGAGGUAUUUUAAAAGAGUAGAAUACCAUUAUUGGUGGUGGUCAAAAGGAGUGAUAGUUCAAAUGAAAGCAAAUAUAGUGAGAGUGACAGUAACAAUGAUGCUCCUGUCAGCAAGAAAUUCCAAGGAUCUUUUCCCUCAGGAUGCUGCUGAGGGUCAAGGUCAAAGAGAAGAAAAUUAAGAAGUUAUGUGUCUUAUCAUUAUAAGUCUGUACUGUACAGAAAAAUAUUGUCAAUCUUAAAGCCAUAGAUGGCUGACUCGGUGUUAAGUUAAAAUGAAACCGGAGGGUAAAAUACCUGUAUGACAACUAGGCAACGGUUAAACCAGGUGGAUAAGCGGUGGGAACAUAUAGUAAGUGAUGUAACUGAUCCAUGAACAUAACAGGAGGGUUAAUAAAAGUAUCUGCUAAAUUCAGGUAGUGUAACACAUUAUAUUUCCAUGGGGAAGACCCCGAGGAUGGUGAAGUAACUUCCUUGCUGUGAAUUUACCUUUGGUCCAGCUAUCCCAAGUCCUGGUUCCCCCACUGGUCCGGCUGGUCCAACAGGACCAGGGUCUCCCUAUUGACAAACAAGCCAUGCAUCGAUCAGAUUAUUUAAAAAAAUAUUCUGCACCAGAAAGAGAAACUACUUGAGCACUGAAUUCCCCGCCCAGGCGGCCCAGGAAUUCCGACUUGCCCAGAGCUUCCUGGUUCUCCCUGUACACAGUCACAAUUCAAAGAAAUGUUUUUCUUCAUCACAGGCCCCACAGGCCCCACGGAUCCUGGAAGCCCCCUAGGACCCCUGUCUCCUCGGUCCCCCUGUGUACAGAAGAAAAACCUUUUCCACCCCGAAUCAUCCGCAGCAGACUGCCAGCAAUUAUAGUAAUAUACUAUUUCCAAAUAAUGUGGGUGUUUAAGAUAACAAACUUUCAAAAAGCA